Non-coding RNA from Ameiurus melas (black bullhead), 74 nucleotides. The record is from the annotation of a GenBank genome assembly. Lineage: Eukaryota; Metazoa; Chordata; Actinopteri; Siluriformes; Ictaluridae.
GGCAGUGGUGGCUUGGGGGUUAAGGCUCUGAUUUACUGAUCAGAAGCUCGGGGGUUCAAGCCCCAGCACUGCCA